UACGUAGGGUGCGAGCGUUAAUCGGAAUUACUGGGCGUAAAGCGUGCGCAGGCGGUUGGGCAAGACAGAUGUGAAAUCCCCGGGCUUAACCUGGGAACUGCAUUUGUGACUGCACGGCUAGAGUGUGUCAGAGGGGGGUAGAAUUCCACGUGUAGCAGUGAAAUGCGUAGAUAUGUGGAGGAAUACCGAUGGCGAAGGCAGCCCCCUGGGAUAACACUGACGCUCAUGCACGAAAGCGUGGGGAGCAAACAGG
This 253-nucleotide ribosomal RNA is filed under the name uncultured bacterium. Its description in RNAcentral is "partial 16S ribosomal RNA". It matches the Rfam family "Bacterial small subunit ribosomal RNA", at positions 524 to 776 of the family's 1533-position model. The record is from RNAcentral.